UACGUAGGGGGGCAAGCGUUGUCCGGAUUUAUUGGGCGUAAAGAGCGUGUAGGCGGUCAGAUAGGUCCGUUGUGAAAACUCGAGGCUCAACCUCGAGACGCCGAUGGAAACCAUCUGACUAGAGUCCGGAAGAGGAGAGUGGAAUUCCUGGUGUAGCGGUGAAAUGCGCAGAUAUCAGGAAGAACACCCGUGGCUAAGGCGGCUCUCUAGUACGGUACUGACGCUGAGACGCGAAAAGCGUGGGGGAGCGAACAGG
RNAcentral lists this ribosomal RNA (256 nucleotides) under uncultured bacterium. RNAcentral describes it as "partial 16S ribosomal RNA". It matches the Rfam family "Bacterial small subunit ribosomal RNA", at positions 524 to 776 of the family's 1533-position model. The record is from RNAcentral.